UGUCGAGAUUUUCCUCAGUAGUUAACUGUAGUCGGUUUUAAACUGUAUCGACAGUUAACUGCCGAUGAAUAU
Medicago truncatula (barrel medic) is the source of this 72-nucleotide microRNA precursor. It matches the Rfam family "MIR2629 microRNA precursor family". The record is from Rfam. NCBI's taxonomy places the organism in Eukaryota, Viridiplantae, Streptophyta, Magnoliopsida, Fabales, Fabaceae.